GGGGAUGUGGCUCAGUGGUACAGCACAUGCCUGGCAUGUGUGAGGCCCUGGGUUCGAUCCUCAGCACCACA
RNAcentral lists this transfer RNA (71 nucleotides) under Marmota monax (woodchuck). Its description in RNAcentral is "tRNA.Ala". It matches the Rfam family "tRNA". From Rfam's summary of the family: Transfer RNA (tRNA) molecules are approximately 80 nucleotides in length. Their secondary structure includes four short double-helical elements and three loops (D, anti-codon, and T loops). Lineage: Eukaryota; Metazoa; Chordata; Mammalia; Rodentia; Sciuridae. The record is from RNAcentral.